AACGAACGCUGGCGGCAUGCCUAACACAUGCAAGUCGAACGAGACCUUCGGGUCUAGUGGCGCACGGGUGCGUAACGCGUGGGAACCUGCCCUUAGGUUCGGAAUAACUCCCCGAAAGGGGUGCUAAUACCGGAUAAUGUCUUCGGACCAAAGAUUUAUCGCCCUUGGAUGGGCCCGCGUUGGAUUAGCUAGUUGGUAGGGUAAAAGACUACCAAGGCGACGAUCCAUAGCUGGUCUGAGAGGAUGAUCAGCCACACUGGGACUGAGACACGGCCCAGACUCCUACGGGAGGCAGCAGUGGGGAAUAGUGGACAAUGGGCGAAAGCCUGAUCCAGCAAUGCCGCGUGAGUGAUGAAGGCCUUAGGGUUGUAAAGCUCUUUUACCCGGGAUGAUAAUGACAGUACCGGGAGAAUAAGCUCCGGCUAACUCCGUG
Molecule: ribosomal RNA, 433 nt
Filed under: uncultured bacterium
Lineage: Bacteria
Description: partial 16S ribosomal RNA
Rfam family: Bacterial small subunit ribosomal RNA
Source: RNAcentral